Molecule: long non-coding RNA, 10832 nt
Filed under: Lupinus angustifolius (narrow-leaved blue lupine)
Lineage: Eukaryota; Viridiplantae; Streptophyta; Magnoliopsida; Fabales; Fabaceae
Description: long non-coding RNA (LANG_LNC001136)
Source: RNAcentral
GAAGUGUCUAGUUCCAGCUUCUAUGAGAUUGCCUGCUUCUGAACUAUUGAAAGACCCAUUCCUUGCAACUGAAAACACAAAGGAGAUCAAUCAUGAUAUGCUACACCUGCCUGAUCCCUUUGCCAAGAUGGUGAAUCCACCAAUAUCCGAGCCUUAUCCCAUGGAGAUAGACUCGAACUUCAGGCAUACUUCAUCUAGCUCCUCUGUUAGAAGAAUUGAAGAAGCUUCUCAAGUUUCAACUUUUGAUCUAGUUAGGAUGACUGAGAAUAACGAAUUUAGGUUAAGAGGAGAUAAAGAUGGUGAAAGUACAAUUUCGCUUAUGCUGCGAAUUGCAGAUACACAUGGUGAGUAUUUUCAGAUAUCUUUUCUUUUUUACUGUAUGCUAAUACACAUGUUAAUAUAUUUGUGUAGGCCGAGCAAGGAAUAUCCAUUUUCCAUUUUUUAUUGAGUCUGAUACUGCAAUUUCAAUUGCUGCGGAGAUGGUGGAACAUCUGGAACUCGCAAGUGAGGAGAACUCGAGCUAAAAUAAUAACUCAUAUCGAACUCAAGUCGAGUUUCGAGACGAACCAAUCCUUAUCGAGUUGAACUGAGCUAACCAUUAAACAAUGCAAUAAAAAGAACAUCAUCAAAUAAAAUGGUAAAAGUGAAGAAAAUGUAACCAAAUAAAAAGUAGAGAUAUAGAAAAGGAAAAAGAAUUGAGUCAAUACCAAUAAUAGUUGUGAUUGAGUUCUAUAAAAAGACAUUUCUCAAUAAAUUAUAAUUAUUAAGAAAUAGUCCAUAAAAUAAAAGACAUCGUCAACUAAUAAAUUGAACCAAAUUGUUAUGUUUGUUUUGGUUCAAUUUCUAUACUAAAAAAUAAUAUAAAUUGAACCACUCUUAUUUCUGAUUCAAUUUUUGAAUUACACUAAAAAUUGAUUUGAACCAUAUUGUUACCCUUUCAAUCAUAGUUAGGGCUAGCCAUGGUCAUAAAAAAGUCCACCGAAUCAAUGUAAAGUUUUUGUCUAUUGUGGUGUUGAAAAAGUUGGCUCAAUCAUCUUAGAAUUUAGCAAAUUAAUUUAUAUCCCAAAUGUUCUCUUUGAAUUAAAAAAGGAGUUAUAUAUAUAUAUCACAUUAAUAAUGAUUUUAUUGAUAAUGUAAAAACUAAAAAGUGUAAAAAAAACAACUGAAAUGAUAUUGGAGAUAUAUUAAAUUCUUAACAAAAUACAUUUCAGGGUAUGAUAAGCAACAAAAGGGGUGAUUAUGGACCACGUUGGGAUAAAUUAAGGUUUCUCCUUAUCUGACUUUAAAUAUUGAUCAAGUCAUUUUUUGAACUUGGAUAUAGCCUUAGAUAUGAAAUUAAUCUUACCCUAAAUAUUGUUCGGAUCGGGCUUUAAAUAUGGAUCUAACCCUAAACCUAAUUAAAUACAAUGCAUACUCAUUUUAGAUAAAAUCUUUUCAAUAUUAUUUAUUAUUAUGAAUAUAUAAUUUCACAUAUAAAAUGAUAUAUAUAUAUAUAUAUUAUUAAUCAUGCGUAUAUAAUUAAAAAAAUUAGAGAAAAAAUGAUACUUUCAACAAAAAAAGUGUCAUUAUUCUGUACACAAUUGAAUAGAGAAACUACAAACAUGAUGAGUGAGUGACUAUGAGACGGGUUGAACAACGUUAUGUUUGGUUUAUAUCCGACCUUACAUAUUGAUCGAGUAUACUUUUUUAACCCAAACUCGAUCCUAGAUCUGACCCUAUUUGGAUUCGAUCAUGAACGUGACAUACCAAGAAAGCGGGUAAAGCCUCAUCCUACUUGCCCAUAAGUAAUAAUAUAUGAUAAAGUUUGCAUUUGGAUAGAUGAUAGUGUAUCCGUUGAAUACUAUACUACCAUAUGAAUAUGUGGAACAAGAUGUAUGAUAAUGAGUUUUAUAUACUUUCAUCUAUCAUAUUAUUAUCCUGUAAAUAUAUAAUACAAAAGUUUAAAAUCUAUACACUUAUAAUAUAAAUUUGUUACAUUAUUAACACAUCAUUAAUAUUUAUUAACAAUCAAUGAUUAAUCAUUUACAGAUAGUGUAUACAUAUUAAAUCAAUAAUAAAAAUCUUCAUCUUAAUCUUUAGCUUUAAAUUGUUUUAUCAUACUGUUAAUGUUAUCCUAACCUACCCUAUAAUAAAGAUGUUAAUCUCCCUCUGUUACACCUUUCUCUUAUAUCAAUACGCUGCCGUUUCAUUCUAGAGUUCUCCAAUUUCGAAGAUGCAGAUUGAAUCAUGGAUCAUCAUCAAUCUCGGUUUCGUUUCAUAAACACACAUCAAUUGCGAUCAUUACGACGUCGUUUUUAUGCUAUGAAUCUUCAAUUCUCCAACACCAUGUUCUUCGUUGGAUCCCGUUUCCGUUUAUCGGAGUUUGAUUCUUACUCCGUUGCUUCUGAAGCUUUUUCUGAAAAACAAUUUUCUCUUUAUCGAAUUCUCUUCAUUCACUUCCUCGUUACCCUUUAAUUUAGGGUUUGCCACAAAGAUAAUCGUCAAUUCUCUUUUUCUUCUUUCUUUGAAUCACUAUGAAUUCGGAUCCAAGUUCACGUUAUGUUCGGGUAUGGAUUUUGUUAUUAUUAAUAUUUUUUAUUUAUUUAACCAAUUCUUAUUGGGUUUUUUGUUAUUGAUAUAUAAUAUUAAUCAAUCUUUGUUUUGUUUGGUUUUAAAUGUUCAGUAUGAUGAGAUGUUGGGGAAAGGAGCAUUCAAGACUGUGUAUGCCUCUUUCUUUAUUAGGGUUCAUGUUAUUAUUAGAAGAUCAUAAUUUUAUAUUUUAUAUUUUUCAUCUAGUUAUUUUGUGUUUUCAAGUUGGGCCUACAAGUUAUCUUUUCCAAUUUUUUUGUUUGUUUCUAGUGUUUAAAAUCAUUUUUUAAUGGUAUUGAUUCCGAAAUUUAGAGGGUGUGGGUCAGCUCAAUGGUACGGUUGUUUGCCGUGUGACAGAUUAUGGUUUCAAAUCACGAGAAGGGUAAGACUGCAUACAUUUACCAUCCAUAGGUCCCACGAGGUGAGAGCCUCGUGCAUUGCGCCGCCCUUUGUUGAUUCAGAAAAUUGAUAAGAGAAAUUGUGUAGAUUUUUUUCAUUGUGAACUUAAUGACAUUCAAAUUGUGAAGUUUGGUGAAUAAUUGAGAGUUCUAGGAAAGAUUCCCUAGUAGAGCCAAAAUGAUAAAAUAAAAAAUAAAGUUACACUACAAAAUUGAAAACGAAAAAUAACUUAAGGACUGAUCCAGUUGUUUUGCUUAUUUUGUUGAUCUUUAUGAAGUUAUCAUACGGUAAUAAGGGACUGUGAAUAGGCAAUUGAGAGAGCCGAUAACGUCAUCCUCUUUACUAAUAGUUGUUUUCUUUUGCUUUUAUUACUUAUUUAAUUCGGGCUUUUUAUUUCCUAUUGUAGAUAUAGGGCAUUUGAUGAAGUAAACGGAAUAGAGGUUGCCUGGAAUCACAUCAGUAUUGAGGAUGUUUUGCAGUCACCACAGCAGUUGGAAAGAUUAUAUUCCGAGGUCCAUAUCCUCAAGUCAUUGAAGCAUGAAAAUAUUAUUAAGCUUUAUAAUUCUUGGGUAGAUGAUAAGAACAAGACUAUCAACAUGAUUACCGAGUUAUUCACCUCUGGGAGUUUGAGGCAGUAAGUUUCACCAAUGAUAUGAAUUAUUUCCCCUUUUACAUGGUUAUUGCUAUCAUAUUCAUUUUGAUCUUGGUUUAUGUAGGUACCGGAAGAAACAUAAGAAUGUUGAUAUGAAAGCCAUCAAGAAUUGGGCGAGGCAGAUUCUUCGAGGCUUAUGCUAUCUGCAUAGCCGCAGUCCUCCGAUAAUUCAUAGGGAUCUUAAAUGUGAUAAUAUUUUCGUUAAUGGCAAUGAUGGCCAUGUUAAGAUUGGAGAUCUUGGAUUGGCAAUUGUCAUGCAGCAGCCUACUGCCCAGAGUGUUAUUGGUAAUUUGCUCAAUUUUCUCUUAUGGUUUUCACUGGAUUGAACCUUAAGAAUUGAAUAAUGACGCAUUGUUUUUUAUAUGUUAUUCUCACCUGGUGCAGGUACACCAGAGUUCAUGGCCCCAGAGCUAUAUGAUGAAGAAUAUAAUGAACUUGUUGAUAUAUAUUCCUUUGGCAUGUGUAUGCUGGAAAUGAUCACCUGUGAGUACCCAUACAGUGAAUGCAAAAAUCCGGCCCAAAUAUAUAAGAAAGUUACCUCUGUAAGUCUUCAGCCAAUGACUUCAUUAAUUAUUUCACGGUGCUUUUCCGACUUAUUAUUUUGAUAAUCUGCGCCUAGUUUUUACUCAAACUGUUGUGCUUCCAGGGCAUAAAGCCUGCUGCUCUUUCCAAAGUAAAUGAUCCGGAAAUGAAGCGAUUUAUUGAGAAGUGUCUAGUUCCAGCUUCUAUGAGAUUGCCUGCUUCUGAACUAUUGAAAGACCCAUUCCUUGCAACUGAAAACACAAAGGAGAUCAAUCAUGAUAUGCUACACCUGCCUGAUCCCUUUGCCAAGAUGGUGAAUCCACCAAUAUCCGAGCCUUAUCCCAUGGAGAUAGACUCGAACUUCAGGCAUACUUCAUCUAGCUCCUCUGUUAGAAGAAUUGAAGAAGCUUCUCAAGUUUCAACUUUUGAUCUAGUUAGGAUGACUGAGAAUAACGAAUUUAGGUUAAGAGGAGAUAAAGAUGGUGAAAGUACAAUUUCGCUUAUGCUGCGAAUUGCAGAUACACAUGGUGAGUAUUUUCAGAUAUCUUUUCUUUUUUACUGUAUGCUAAUACACAUGUUAAUAUAUUUGUGUAGGCCGAGCAAGGAAUAUCCAUUUUCCAUUUUUUAUUGAGUCUGAUACUGCAAUUUCAAUUGCUGCGGAGAUGGUGGAACAUCUGGAACUCGCAAGUGAGGACGUAGCUGUCAUUGCUGAGCUGAUACAUGACAUGAUUGUGAACCUUGUGCCCAACUGGCAACCCUCAUGUCGUGACCUUCAAUUUCGAACUGGUCAUUUAUGCCGGUCUUCUGAUGUUCAAAAUGAUGAAAUAGGAAGUUGCCAUUGGCCACCACAUUCAAGUGAUUUUGAAACAAAGGCAGCCGAUGGAGAUUUUGUUCUUUCAAAGCACGUUGAUGGGGAAGAUCAGGAGAAGCAAGAGUCUGUUUUGUCGGAUAUUUCAGCAGAGUAUGGGGUUCCAGUUACCUCAGAUUCUAAAGCUUUAGAGCAUGGUUUUUCAAUUCUUGAUGAAUGCUGCCAAGUAUCUAAUGGCUUUAAUUGCAAUUCAGAUUUCAUGUUUUGUCGUCAAGAUGAUGGAUACAAGAAUAGAACUAAUCAAUCAGAGAAUCACUCAGCAAGCUCUUUGAUGAAUUCAUGUUGCAGCGCAUCCGAAAUAUUUGACACGUCAAGCAUAUGUUCGCUUACUCUAGCCGACAAAGAUAAUUCGAAUGAUGAACUGCAGUUGGAGCUUGAUGCAAUAGAUGUACAGUAUCAACAAUGCCUUCAUCAGCUUGAUAAGAUGAGGGAAGAAGCCAUAGAAAAUGCCAAAAGGAAAUGGAUAACAAGGAAGAAAAUAUCAGUCAUAUGAUGCAUUAGGAUGGUUGUUUGUAUUUUUUUUUAUAUGUUGUUACAUCAAUUAACAUAUGGUUGUAUUUCAUUGUUGGUGGUUCUGGUUUUUGAGAAAUGAAAUCGCCUGCAAUUUGGGACAUAACUUGCAUUUCUCUUACUUUUUCAAUGUUCAAAAGUGGUAUGGUGUCUUCAGAACCAAGAAUAUAUAACACAUGAAAAUCUGGAUGACUUGGUUAUUAAAGGUUAUACUCUAUAAAUAUGAGUGGGGGGACCCCACUUACUCAAAGAGUAAGUUUUUAAAUUUACUUCACAUCUUAGCCAUCAAUUUUUGGGAAAUCUAAUACUCUUAAAAUUGAUGGUUAAGAUAUGAAGUAAGUUGAUCUCUCCCUAUAUAUCGAACACAUAUCUCAAUCAACAAUUUAACACUAGGGAUAAUCAAGAAACCAGUAGUGAAAAGCAUCCCGCAAAGUGUCACUUCAUGUGUUAGUUGUUGUGAAUGGUUUUAAUAAUUAAAUGUUUUCUCACCAAUCACAUUCAAUGUGACAUAUGAAAUUUCAUAUUUGUGGGACAUAAGAUGUACUCACAUCCAAAAUGUCUAGAAAAUCCCUGUAUCUACGAAUGAUAAUAAUUAGGCACCAGGCCUUUAAUAUAUAAAAAAAUGUCUUACUCUAUAAGGAAAAAGAUUGAUUUCAAAAUCAUGACUUGCAAGUCACAAUACAACUAAAGGGUACUCUAAUAAGAAGCAAUGAUGCAAAGCCAUGCAACAUUCUUACUCCUUAUGAUAGCUUUUAAUGUGAGGAUAUCUUUCAUCUUUUCACAUGAACAAGUUUGCUAUAUUAUUAGUACAUAAUAGUCAUUGAAUCACAGAACCUCUAUAUAAUUAAAGUUACAAAAAGUGACUAGAAAGCAAUAAGUAAAUCACAGAACGUUUAAAUAAUUAAAAUUAAAAUAUAAAAAGAACAUAAUAUUUUGAGGUGCAGUGCACAAGGUGAUUUUUUGAAGUACAUCCAAGAAAGUAUUUUAAGUUAGAGGGUUAACCAACAAAUAAUAAUUGGGCUGCUUCAUCAUCAGAAUCAACAAUAACACUAAUCACUCAUAAGUAAUUAAAUUUGAAGGAAAAAAAAAAUGUAUUGACGAGUAAUGUAUGAGUUUUAUAUAUUGUCACAGUAUUAUCUACCAUUCGUAUGUGUUCUUAUGUAUUGGGAGGAAAUGGUCGGUAACUGAUUCAGAAUGGUCGGUGAUGUAUGUCCAGUAGUGUAUGAAGGAUCAGGAGAUCUGGUCGAAAAGUCGUCUAGACCCGCCGGGGAGGUACCUUGAAAAGGUUCUCUGAUGCUCAAGUCAAUAGUGUAUUCUAGAGAGAUAAAAGGAAUAAAUAAGAGAGAAGCUGAAGUAAUAAGUGUAGCAAUAAAUAAAGGAAAUGAGAAUUGAUUAUACUCCCGGUGUAAUCUCAGAUAUUUAUAGAGUUUAGGAAAUGCUUAGAUGACAACUGGUACGUAUCCCAACAGCGCAUUAAAUGGUGGAUCACAUAUAUUAAUGUUGUGUCGGGAGCAUUUAUGAUGUCUGCUAUAAGUGGGUCCAUCUGAGGCGAGUGGUCAGAAAAUGCAGGACCCUUCAUAUGGUAUCUGGAAUGUUCGGAUGGUAGCCCAGGUAUGAUCGGGGUGGAAUAGUUGCCCCCAGUCUAUUAGGUCGGGCAAAACGUGCCGGGCUAAUAGACUUGAGGAUUGGAUUGAAGAUAGCUCGGGUAUGAGGUAGAACAAUAUGUAAUCAUCAUUGACACUUAAAAAAAAGAAAUAAAAUAAAUGAUGAAUAAUAUAUUAAUUGUAUAUAAGUUUUUAUACUAAUAAUGUCAAAAUAUUAUACUCACUAGAUUUAAGACAGUAGCCAACUGAUUCUGACAGAUUAUUUAGAAAAAUGAAGCAUACUAGGAUGUACUUCAAAAUGUCUAUACUCUCCCAACAUGUACAUGUCCUUGUCGGUGUGAGUUAAUUAUAAGUGUGUAAUAUUUAUGUAUUGAUAAUAUAAGAAUUUAUACAAAGUUAAUAUAUCAUUUACUAUUUUAUUUAUAUUAUUUUUAUUUAAGAGUUAAUAAUAAUUAAAAAUGAAUGAUAAAAAUGUACUGAUUAUAUAAAAAACUCUUAUAAUCAGUACAUACAUAUUUUUCUCUCAUUACAAACAAAAACGGCCCAUAAAAGAGGCUUCAUCUAGUAAAUUUGAAGAUGGUAAAGGGACACAAUCAAAUCUACUUUUAUAAUGUAUUUUAUUAUGUUAUUCUACUUAACUUCUUUUUGGCUAAAACUUUGUUUUGUCAUUUAUCUUAUUUUUAGGUUUUAAUUUAGUUUUCUACUAAAAUAAAAGAGUGAAUUUAAUUCACUAUUCUAAUUUUAUUGUUCAAUUUAGUCCUCAAACAAAACGAAACUACAAUUUAGUCUUGCAUCUUUCUAAUUUCAUUAUUCUAUGGUGACAAUGUUUAUUAUAUUUAAUCAAAAAGACAUCCAUCCAUUUUUUCCUGCAUAUUUCUACAGUGAAGAAUGAAUAUAUGGCUAAUUUAGCAUAUUCUAGCUGAAAUUUAAUUAACACGGUUAUGAUUGAAAGGUAAAAUUGAUAAACAUUAUUACUUAGUAGUUAUACGAGAAUUUUAUCUUAUCAUAUUGUACUCUUAUUAAUAAAUUAUAAUUUCAUAUCGCGUCAAUGUUGUUAAAACUAUUUCAUAUCGACAUGUUCAACCGAUAAACCGGUCCCAAUACUGGUAUGUACAAUAGUUAUACCAGUCAUGUAAUCAUACAGGUCAAAACCACUAAAACCGGUUAUACUAGCCGGUUUUCAAUUAUAUCGACCAAUUUUUAUUUUAAAUUAAUUUUUUAUUGAUUUUUCAACAUUAAUGUUAAUAUAUGAUAUAUGUAUAUCUAAUUUCGCUGGUAUGUGAUUUAAUUAGUAAACUAUCGGUUAAACCGUUAUACCACUACACCAAUACUCUAACCAGUUUAAUGGCCGCUACUGUAUUAAUAACACUGAAUCAAAUCAUAUUUAACUUUUACUAUCAUAUUCUUAUUAUCUCUGAAAAUAAACCUAUCAUUUCAUUGAUAAUAAAUUAAUAUACAUUCUAUUUCUACAAUUCUACUCUAUAUGUAUACAAAUUUUAUUCAUGUCAUUAUUAAUCUAUAAUAAUAAAUUUAUACUCCUUACAAUAAUGAAAUUAUUAUCAAAAUACUAAUAUUAAUAUAUANNNNNNNNNNNNNNNNNNNNNNNNNNNNNNNNNNNNNNNNNNNNNNNNNNNNNNNNNNNNNNNNNNNNNNNNNNNNNNNNNNNNNNNNNNNNNNNNNNNNUAUAUAUAUAUAUAUAUAUAUAUAUAUAUAUAUAUAUUUUGCUAGAGUGAUUCAAAUGACAAUACUUUUCAUAUAAAAAUUACUGAACAAUAAAUUUGUGUCAUACAUAAAAGAUUGAAAUUGAAAAUUAAUUAAUGUUCACAUAACCCCUUAAAAGCAUUAUAUGUAUUUAUCUUUUAAUUUCAAACAUUCAAAUAUGAUCUAAAAAUUCACAUUAAUUACUCUAUCUCAUAAUAAAAAUUGUUUUUACAUAAUUGACUCAAUUUAUUUCUUUAAUUUGUUAUUAGUAUGAUCGUGGUCGCUAGAACAAGUUGUAGCUAUAUAUUCCUUGUCAGAGUAUUUUGGAAUGAAGCAUCUUGGCUACAAUUGUCCCAAUAUUCAUUUAAUAUUUUUUGGUAUUACCAAAGAGUGUAAAAUAUACAUUGACAGAGUAAAUAUUUAUACAUAUGCACUUUAUUAUCCACCAUUCAUUUGAAUUACCUUUUCUAAGAGUCAAGAAUAAUUAAAAAUCAAUAGUGGAUGAUGCAAUGACAGUGUAUAAAACUCAUAGACGGUCGUGCAUACACUAUUUUCUCAUUACCAAAUAUAUUUUUUUACUUUCUUGAAUAUUAAAUUAAUCUCUUUUGGAGUUCAUGGUUGUCCCUCCUAAUAAGUGACAUUUUUGAGAAUCAAAUUCUUAAUGUUUCUAUCAUUCUAGAAAUUUAUCAGGAUUUUAGACCAUUAAACCAACUCAUUCUUGAUUAACAAUUUCUAUAUAAACAAAUUUAUCCCUUUAUUUUAUGGAUAAGGAAUUAAGGGUUUGUAUUUGCCUAUAUCAAAUUAAAUUUUUAACCUAGUGUGAUACAUAAAUAUCAAAACAUUUGAGAAAAGUCUUAGAUUCCUUUAAUAUCUUCUUGCCUAUCAUUUUCUUAUCAAUGCAAACAUUGUUUUCUGCAUCAUACAACAAAUCAUAAAUUUUGAGUAAUUUUGAAGAUGCAUGAAUACUUUUUUUUGGUACUAUAAAAGAUAUCUUUUAAUCUUUUGAGAAAUAAACUAAUAUCUUUUAAGGUGUGUGUCUGCUUAGUCUAGCAAGUCACAUACAUGAAUUGAAUCGUUGAUAUUUUGGUUUUUUGGAACUCUAUCAAAACCUCACACUAGAUCAACCUUGUGAUGAUAUAUAACCAUUAAUUUCAAGCUUCAUAUAUGCAAAGAUAUAUAUUACAUUAAUCUUUAUGCAUAUAAAUGCAUUACAAAAAAAUAUUGGAUUUUUAUAAUGUUUGAAAUACAUAUAGCAACAAAUCAUUGAUUUUGAUUAAAUCAUUAAAUUACUUUUAUGUGAAAAUUCUACUGGUGUAAUAAUUUACCGCUGAUUUUACUAGGUAUGAUAUUCCACUUUAUAAAUGUCUGGAACAUCUUAAAUGCAAUGACAAUUAAAAUGAUUUUUUUAUAUUAUUAAGAGUAUUCCUGUCAUUUGAAUAAGGGAUAUAUCUCAUUCCGGAUGUGUGAUUAUCCUUUCCAACAAUUAUCACUUUAAAAAAUUGAAUAUUUAAUUUUUUGGUGGACAAAAUCUUAUACUACUUAACCAACAGAUUUUUUUGGUGGUAAAUGAAAUGGUUGAUAAAGACGUCCAGAUUCACAAAUAGUACCAGAUUCUCCACACUAUUACGUCCAAGUACAAGUUCUUUAUAUUUAUUUAUUUCUUUCUUAUUGUAGAAGUUUCAGACAAGUCAAAAGCAGAAAAUUCCAUAUUAAAUACCAAGCAUAUCUACCUAUUCUCCCUCAUCAAUUUCCAACUACUUUCUCUCCUUCUCAUUAUCACUUGCAUUCUCUCCUUUCAAUUUUCUCACAUUUUAAUCUUUCAAACUCAUGGCUGAUACCACGAAUCAAGGCAUGACUUACCUUCCCAACAAAAAGAGAAGUGUCCUAGAGGACCUCGAUUUGGAUGGCAAAGAUGCAAAAAAACUAGUGCUAUCUAGCUCACUGAGUGGAAGCCUUGUGGACCCGGCUGCCUCGUUGGCGAAUGCACGCCAUGAAUUCGGUGAACAUG